ACGAAGUCUUCGGACUGAGUGGCGGACGGGUGAGUAACGCGUGAGAAUCUGCCUAGAGGUCGGGGACAACCAUUGGAAACGAUGGCUAAUACCGGAUAUGCCUUGCGGGGUGAAAGAUUAAUUGCCUUUAGAAGAGCUCGCGUCUGAUUAGCUAGUUGGUGAGGUAAGAGCUCACCAAGGCAGCGAUCAGUAGCUGGUCUGAGAGGAUGACCAGCCACACUGGGACUGAGACACGGCCCAGACUCCUACGGGAGGCGGCAGUGGGGAAUUUUCCGCAAUGGGCGAAAGCCUGACGGAGCAAGACCGCGUGAGGGAGGAAGGCUCUUGGGUUGUAAACCUCUUUUGUCAGGGAAGAACAAAAUGACGGUACCUGACGAAUCAGCAUCGGCUAACUCCGUGCCAGCAGCCGCGGUAAUACGGAGGAUGCAAGCGUUAUCCGGAAUUAUUGGGCGUAAAGCGUCCGCAGGUGGCUGAUCAAGUCUGCGGUCAAAGACCGGGGCUUAACCCUGGAAAGGCCGUGGAAACUGAUAGAGCUAGAGUACCGUAGGGGUAGAGGGAAUUCCCGGUGUAGCGGUGA
RNAcentral lists this ribosomal RNA (577 nucleotides) under uncultured cyanobacterium. RNAcentral describes it as "bacterial SSU rRNA". It matches the Rfam family "Bacterial small subunit ribosomal RNA", at positions 66 to 684 of the family's 1533-position model. The record is from RNAcentral. Lineage: Bacteria; Bacillati; Cyanobacteriota.